This 330-nucleotide ribosomal RNA is filed under the name uncultured bacterium. RNAcentral's name for it is "partial 16S ribosomal RNA". It matches the Rfam family "Bacterial small subunit ribosomal RNA", at positions 355 to 701 of the family's 1533-position model. The record is from RNAcentral.
UGGGGAAUAUUGGACAAUGGGGGGCAACCCUGAUCCAGCAAUGCCGCGUGUGUGAAGAAGGUCUUCGGAUUGUAAAGCACUUUCGACGGGGACGAUGAUGACGGUACCCGUAGAAGAAGCCCCGGCUAACUUCGUGCCAGCAGCCGCGGUAAUACGAAGGGGGCUAGCGUUGCUCGGAAUGACUGGGCGUAAAGGGCGUGUAGGCGGUUUACACAGUCAGAUGUGAAAUCCCCGGGCUUAACCUGGGAGCUGCAUUUGAUACGUGUAGACUAGAGUGUGAGAGAGGGUUGUGGAAUUCCCAGUGUAGAGGUGAAAUUCGUAGAUAUUGGG